GACGAACGCUGGCGGCGUGCUUAACACAUGCAAGUCGAACGAGGUUACGGAGGAGCUUGCUCCGAAGUAACCGAGUGGCGGACGGGUGAGUAACGCGUGAGGAACCUGUCUCACACAGGGGGAUAACGCACCGAAAGGUGUGCUAAUACCGCAUAAGACCACGGUACCGCAUGGUACAGGGGUCAAAGGAGUAAUCCGGUGUGAGGUGGCCUCGCGUCUGAUUAGGUAGUUGGUGAGGUAACGGCCCACCAAGCCGACGAUCAGUAGCCGACCUGAGAGGGUGAUCGGCCACAUUGGAACUGAGACACGGCCCAGACUCCUACGGGAGGCAGCAGUGGGGAAUAUUGGGCAAUGGGCGCAAGCCUGACCCAGCAACGCCGCGUGAAGGAAGAAGGCUUUCGGGUUGUAAACUUCUUUGUCGAGGAAGAGUAGAAGACUGUACUCGGCGAAUAAGCCACGGCUAACUACGUG
RNAcentral lists this ribosomal RNA (471 nucleotides) under uncultured bacterium. Its description in RNAcentral is "bacterial SSU rRNA". It matches the Rfam family "Bacterial small subunit ribosomal RNA", at positions 28 to 507 of the family's 1533-position model. The record is from RNAcentral.